RNAcentral lists this transfer RNA (73 nucleotides) under Ovis aries (sheep). It matches the Rfam family "tRNA". From Rfam's summary of the family: Transfer RNA (tRNA) molecules are approximately 80 nucleotides in length. Their secondary structure includes four short double-helical elements and three loops (D, anti-codon, and T loops). The record is from Rfam by way of RNAcentral. Lineage: Eukaryota; Metazoa; Chordata; Mammalia; Artiodactyla; Bovidae.
UCCCCGGUGGUCCAAUAGUUAAGACCCUGCACUCCCAAUGCAGGGUACCUGGGUUCGAUCCCUGGUCAGGGAA